CCUACGGGUGGCAGCAGUAGGGAAUCUUUCACAAUGGGCGAAAGCCUGAUGGAGCAACGCCGCGUGCAGGAUGAAGGCCUUCGGGUUGUAAACUGCUUUUAUAAGCGAGAAAUAUGAUGGUAACUUAUGAAUAAGGAUCGGCUAACUACGUGCCAGCAGCCGCGGUCAUACGUAGGAUCCGAGCAUUAUCCGGAGUGACUGGGUGUAAAGAGUUGCGUAGGUGGCAUAAUAAGUAGCUAGUUAAAUCGGGUGGCUCAACCAUUCAGACUAUUAGCUAAACUGUUAAGCUCGAGACCGUUAGGGGUAACUGGAAUUUCUAGUGUAGGAGUGAAAUCCGUAGAUAUUAGAAAGAACACCAAUAGCGUAGGCAGGUUACUGGGACGGUUCUGACACUAAGGCACGAAAGCGUAGGGAGCAAACGGGAUUAGAUACCCCGGUAGUC
Molecule: ribosomal RNA, 442 nt
Filed under: uncultured bacterium
Lineage: Bacteria
Description: partial 16S ribosomal RNA
Rfam family: Bacterial small subunit ribosomal RNA
Source: RNAcentral